UUUUUUUCUUCUCAGUUAGUACUUUCAAUAGUAAGGUCCUUCAAAGGUUCAGCAUGAAUUUCCUGCUCUUGCAAAUGUUAAUGAACAGUUGAUUACAGGCAAAGUAUUUUAAGAUGCUUCAAAAUAUCCUAUUGAAGAAACACAUCUUCAUUAUUUAUGUCACCAUUUUUUUCUUAGCUUCAAGAUUCAUCUGUAAAUAUUUGAUAUAAUUUUUGAGAUCUUUAUUAAAAUUAUUACAAAUUGGUUGGUAAAUCAAUGGAUAGUUACUCUUUGAUAUCUGCAACAAUAAGUUACUUGAAUCUAUUUGAUGCCUAUUUGUUUUACGGAAAGGAAAAUAUUAUGUAGUUCUUUCUCAAAUGCCCCAAAGAAAUUCAAACGUGCUACAUCAAUAUCUUUAUCUUGAUCAGGUUCGAUAUGGUUCGAUAACAGCAACAUGCAAUGGCAAGAUAAAUUCCAUGUCACUGAAUAUAACUUCAUUUUAUUCCAAGCUAUAAUAUUAUGAAAUACCUUUUAUACACUAUUCUAUAGAAAAGCAGAUACAAUUGCCUGAUAACUACAACUAGUCUGGUAUGUCAAACAUUAUUAUAAUUAUGACUAAAAGUUUUCUUCUAAAUUCGAGCCAGAGUUUGUUAAUUUUAACAGCUCUUGUCGCACUGUUAUCAUUUGUUUUUAAGUCAUUUGUCAUCUUGAUAUUCAGUCCGAGAUAUAUUUUGAAACAGAAUAUGCUGUUAGUUUUGUUUGUUUGUUUGUUUGUUUGCUUGUAUUCAUUUGAAAUGUUAAUGAAACACAAUUUUCUUGCUCUUGGCUAAUAAAAUGGUUUCAUUGUUCUUAGAUUAUCAUAGAAAUUAAUGUCACCAUCUAUAUUAUCACCUGAAAAAUGGCAAGUUUACUAUGUAAGCCAAGUAGAUAGCCAUUAUUCAUUAUUUUCUCUUUUAUGUACUGGGCUACUGUUUUACCACCGCAGUGUUUUCUCUACAAUUGAAAUCAGGUAAAACAGUCUUUACUUUUUGCAAGAUCUGCCUGCCCUGCUUAAAAAUGUAUACUAGACUGGUAAUCUUUUCAAUCAAGAAGUUCCUUGGCUCCACUGUUUGGUUUAUGUGUGUAUGUGUUUAUUAUUUUUUUAGUACUGUUUCCUACUCAGGAAGAUCUUCAAGUAAAUGGGAUGACUUCAAAAUGUUCAAUUUCAACAAAUCUUGCUUAUAAUCACCUUUGUUAGAAAUGAUGUUUUCUAUUUUAUUCACAGCAUCAUGUCAAGCAAAAAUAAAUACUGAGCAUUUUUCUUUGCUGUGUAUCCCUAUUCCUUACAUUUCCUUUCCACAUGUAGCAGUGAGCGCAUACAUUACUUAUGGACUCGCCUUCAUCAUAAUAUGCCAACUUACUGGGCCAUGACUUACAAUUUUUACUGGGCCAUUUAGACUUCAGUGUUUGCUUUACUUUCCUUAUCAGCUGGGUGCAUUAACUUUGUUAUUUGUAUUCAUUACAUUCAAGUGGUUAUUUUUACAUGUAAUAUUGCAUUAUAUAAGCAAUAAAACUGGAAUAGUCAUUUUCACUUCUUUUAAUCAAGACAGUGUGUAAUAAAAGAUUAUCUGUGUUUAUGAAAUCACAGAUUCCUGAACACCCAGCAAGAUGCCCUUGAAGAAUUUUCAGUGUCUAUUAACAAUUCCUUCUUUAUCAUUUCAUAUAAAAUAUCAUUAAGUAUUGGGAUUAAAUUUAUCACUUGAUAUAGAACAUAAUCAGUGGUAGGAUGUUAAUAUAAUCUCUUGAAUUCAGAGAAGGACUUGCCUUUGCCUUUUUAAGUGAUUAUAAUUGAUGAGAAAAUCCAAAGAGUUUCAGAAGUUUAAUGACGUUGAAAAGACUAGGUGAUUUUUUUGUAGAUGUAGAUACCUUUUCUACUUCCCUGAUGUAGUCAUAUUUGCUUCUAAGACCAAUAACUGUUUACUUUAAAUUUGCUACUUUCUUUAACAGACCAUUUCUAACUUCCAGUAAAAAAACAAAAAUAAAAAUAAAAAUGAAAGCAUAAAAGCAUGGGUUGCUAAAACAUUUCUAAGUUUAUCAAAGCAAGAACUGAAUGUACAUAAUAUUACCUAGAAGGUACACCAUAUCCUUAGCAAGUUGUUGCAAGAAAAUACUUUUUUGUUAAAUGAAAAUGCUUAAGAUAAUGUUGCUCAGAGUAGGGUCAGCGAGAACAUGUUGCCUAGGACCAUGUCCAGGAGGCUUUUGAAGAUAGCCAAGAAGGAGACUCCACAAUCUCUUUAGGAAGUCUGUUCUAGUGUUCUAUCACUUGUACAGCACAGAAAGUCUUCUCAAUGUGCAUACGGAACCUUCUGUGUUCCAGUUUGUGCCGAUUACCUUUUGUCCUGCCUUUGGAAGCCACCGAAAAUGCCUGGCUCCAUCUUCUUCACGCUCUUCCUUCUCUAGGCUGAACAUUUCCAUCUCUGUCAGUCUUUUCUCACAGAGGUGCUCCAGUUCAAUCACCAUCUUUUCCUUUUAUUGAACUUCAUGAUAUUCAUGUUAGUCUACUUCUCCAGCCUGUCCAAGUCCUUACAAGUGGCAUCAAAAUAACUGGUUGUGAAUUCACUGAUGUGAAUCAGCACAGGAGGGAUUUCAGACAUAUAGGUCUAUAGGACCAUGAGACUCACAUACACGUAUUUCUGGCAUUUUUGUUCAUCCAGUAAGUUCAAAUUCAGAUUCUGAAACUAUAAUGUCCUCAAGAAAGGCUUUUAAGCUGUGUUUUCUGAUAUUUAAGAGCUCAUUUUGUUGCUUCCAGGCAUUCUGAAUUCUUUUCUUUUCAGGUAAUGGGUUCAUCCCUACUUACUGUUUAGGUACGGAAUUGAAAACAUCUGUGCUCCUAGUUAUAAUAGACUGACUAAUGGCAAGAGUAUACAUCAUCACUUCAGUCUGUAGAGAAAUUUCUAGUUUCAAGGUCGUAAGUUGAAAAAAAGCAUUAGCUCUUUAAAAGAGACAUUGAGGCAAAGGGGGAAGAAUUUGAAGGAAUAUUGUCAUAAUCCCUCCAUCUGGCGAGGAACACACUGUCAUCUGCUGUCCUUAUAAGAAACACAGUGAUUAAAUAUGGCUAAGCACUCAGGCUAGUUGUGAUUUUUUAAUUAAAAGAAAAGUAAUCUAUUUUUUUGUUUUGUUUUGUUUUUAAUCAUAUGAAAAAGAUGUAUUGUCAACCUUUGUGCACAAAUGCAAUUAAAUUCAAAUGCUGACUAAGCCUCUUAAGCAGAGAACAAAACCCAGCAAGGUUUUCUUUAGGCUUUCCUACAGAAACAUAGAAACACCUGCAGUGAACUGCAUUUGUUAAUGGGUGGUAUUUUACGUAGCAACACAUUAUUUGAUUUUCCUUUUUUAAAAAUACCUAUACACUGUCACCUUGGUAGGUCCUUUCAAUACAACACAGCUUGUAUAGCACAGACUUGACUGAAUCAGGUCCUAGGAGGAAGAAAAAGUGUCAGCUGUUGAGGAGUGUGUAAGGGCUUUGUUAGUCUGAUAUUUGUAAAAUCUCUCUCAGUGCAAGAAUAAGCUCCUUAUUUUCUACCUUUCUUAUUUUUUACCUUUCUUAUUUUCUAUCUUCCAUUUUCCUCCCUUAAAAAGCAGCUGCAGGCCAUCAUAAAAAGAACAAUACUAUGUUAGGAUGGACUUGUGGAGUGUGACCACAGCCCUCUUUACAAACAUACC
Long non-coding RNA from Gallus gallus (chicken), 3678 nucleotides. Lineage: Eukaryota; Metazoa; Chordata; Aves; Galliformes; Phasianidae. The record is from Ensembl.